AAUCACUCAAUCAAUAAAACAAGUGAACUUAGAAACAUUGUGCCCAGAUCAGGAUUGUUAAUAUAGAUAUCUUCAUCUGAGAUAUCUUGAGAUAUCUCAUAGUUUAUUUUAAAAGGCUUAAGGACUUAGGGGGAGAAAAAAGCCAGCCAUUUCAGAGGUAAGAUGGGACUAAAAGUGAGGAUCAUAUCAU
This is a long non-coding RNA of Perognathus longimembris pacificus (Pacific pocket mouse), 190 nucleotides long. RefSeq lists it as uncharacterized. The record is from RefSeq and is a predicted model, not a curated record. The transcript is spliced from 3 exons. Lineage: Eukaryota; Metazoa; Chordata; Mammalia; Rodentia; Heteromyidae.